This 74-nucleotide transfer RNA is filed under the name Acanthaster planci (crown-of-thorns starfish). Its description in RNAcentral is "tRNA-Thr". It matches the Rfam family "tRNA". Rfam says of the family: Transfer RNA (tRNA) molecules are approximately 80 nucleotides in length. Lineage: Eukaryota; Metazoa; Echinodermata; Asteroidea; Valvatida; Acanthasteridae. The record is from Rfam by way of RNAcentral.
GGCGUCGUAGCUUAGCUGGUUAAAGCACCUGUCUUGUAAACAGGAGAUCCCUGGUUCGAAUCCGGGCGAUGCCU